GGCGUGCUUAACACAUGCAAGUCGAACGGAAAGGCCCUGCUUUUGUGGGGUGCUCGAGUGGCGAACGGGUGAGUAACACGUGAGUAACCUGCCCUUGACUUUGGGAUAACUUCAGGAAACUGGGGCUAAUACCGGAUAGGAGCUCCUGCUGCAUGGUGGGGGUUGGAAAGUUUCGGCGGUUGGGGAUGGACUCGCGGCUUAUCAGCUUGUUGGUGGGGUAGUGGCUUACCAAGGCUUUGACGGGUAGCCGGCCUGAGAGGGUGACCGGCCACAUUGGGACUGAGAUACGGCCCAGACUCCUACGGGAGGCAGCAGUGGGGAAUAUUGCACAAUGGGCGGAAGCCUGAUGCAGCAACGCCGCGUGCGGGAUGACGGCCUUCGGGUUGUAAACCGCUUUCGCCUGUGACGAAGCGUGAGUGACGGUAAUGGGUAAAGAAGCACCGGCUAACUACGUGCCAGCAGCCGCGGUGAUACGUAGGGUGCGAGCGUUGUCCGGAUUUAUUGGGCGUAAAGGGCUCGUAGGUGGUUGAUCGCGUCGGAAGUGUAAUCUUGGGGCUUAACCCUGAGCGUGCUUUCGAUACGGGUUGACUUGAGGAAGGUAGGGGAGAAUGGAAUUCCUGGUGGAGCGGUGGAAUGCGCAGAUAUCAGGAGGAACACCAGUGGCGAAGGCGGUUCUCUGGGCCUUUCCUGACGCUGAGGAGCGAAAGCGUGGGGAGCGAACAGGCUUAGAUACCCUGGUAGUCCACGCUGUAAACGGUGGGUACUAGGUGUGGGGUCCAUUCCACGGGUUCCGUGCCGUAGCUAACGCUUUAAGUACCCCGCCUGGGGAGUACGGCCGCAAGGCUAAAACUCAAAGGAAUUGACGGGGCCCCGCACAAGCGGCGGAGCAUGCGGAUUAAUUCGAUGCAACGCGUAGAACCUUACCUGGGUUUGACAUGGAUCGGGAGUGCUCAGAGAUGGGUGUGCCUCUUUUGGGGUCGGUUCACAGGUGGUGCAUGGCUGUCGUCAGCUCGUGUCGUGAGAUGUUGGGUUAAGUCCCGCAACGAGCGCAACCCUUGUUCACUGUUGCCAGCGCGUUAUGGUGGGGACUCAGUGGAGACCGCCGGGGUCAACUCGGAGGAAGGUGGGGAUGACGUCAAGUCAUCAUGCCCCUUAUGUCCAGGGCUUCACGCAUGCUACAAUGGCUGGUACAGAGAGUGGCGAGCCUGUGAGGGUGAGCGAAUCUCGGAAAGCCGGUCUCAGUUCGGAUUGGGGUCUGCAACUCGACCUCAUGAAGUCGGAGUCGCUAGUAAUCGCAGAUCAGCAACGCUGCGGUGAAUACGUUCCCGGGGCUUGUACACACCGCCCGUCAAGUCAUGAAAGUUGGUAACACCCGAAGCCGGUGGCCUAACCGUUGUGGGGGAGCCGUCGAAGGUGGGACUGGUGAUUAGGACUAAGA
This 1438-nucleotide ribosomal RNA is filed under the name uncultured organism. Its description in RNAcentral is "partial small subunit ribosomal RNA". It matches the Rfam family "Bacterial small subunit ribosomal RNA". The record is from RNAcentral.